UACGAAGGGGGGCUAGCGUUGUUCGGAAUUACUGGGCGUAAAGCGCACGUAGGCGGACUUUUAAGUCAGGGGUGAAAUCCCGGGGCUCAACCUCGGAACUGCCUUUGAUACUGGAAGUCUUGAGUAUGGAAGAGGUAAGUGGAAUUGCGAGUGUAGAGGUGAAAAUUCGUAGAUAUUCGCAGGAACACCAGUGGCGAAGGCGGCUUACUGGUCCAUUACUGACGCUGAGGUGCGAAAGCGUGGGGAGCAAACAGGG
RNAcentral lists this ribosomal RNA (256 nucleotides) under uncultured bacterium. Its description in RNAcentral is "partial 16S ribosomal RNA". It matches the Rfam family "Bacterial small subunit ribosomal RNA", at positions 524 to 777 of the family's 1533-position model. The record is from RNAcentral.